UUCCUACUCCCUCCGUCCGAAAAUACUUGUCAUCAAAAUGAAUAAAAGGGGAUGUAUCUAUGGAUAAAAAAGGGUGUAUCUAAAACUAAAAUAUGUCUAUAUACAUCCCUUUUUAUUCAUUUUGAUGACAAGUAUUUCGGGACGGAGGGAGUAUAAA
This is a non-coding RNA of Triticum aestivum (bread wheat), 157 nucleotides long. NCBI's taxonomy places the organism in Eukaryota, Viridiplantae, Streptophyta, Magnoliopsida, Poales, Poaceae. The record is from Rfam.